Molecule: ribosomal RNA, 433 nt
Filed under: uncultured bacterium
Lineage: Bacteria
Description: partial 16S ribosomal RNA
Rfam family: Bacterial small subunit ribosomal RNA
Source: RNAcentral
AACGAACGCUGGCGGCAUGCCUAACACAUGCAAGUCGAACGAGACCUUCGGGUCUUGUGGCGCACGGGUGCGUAACGCGUGGGAACCUUCCCUUAGGUUCGGAAUAACUCCCCGAAAGGGGUGCUAAUACCGGAUAAUGUCUUCGGACCAAAGAUUUAUUGCCUUUGGAUGGGCCCGCGUUGGAUUCGCUAGUUGGUAGGGUAAAAGCCUACCAAGGCGACGAUCCACAGCUGGUCUGAGAGGAUGAUCAGCCACACUGGGACUGAGACACGGCCCAGACUCCUACGGGAGGCAGGAGUGGGGAAUGGUGGAAAGUGGGCGAAAGCCUGAUCCAGCAAGGCCGGGUGAGUGAUGAAGGCCUUAGGGUUGUAAAGCUCUUUUACCCGGGAAGAUAAUGACAGUACCGGGAGAAUAAGCGCCGGCUAACUCCGUG